CCUACGGGAGGCAGCAGUGGGGAAUAUUGGGCAAUGGGCGCAAGCCUGACCCAGCAACGCCGCGUGAAGGAAGAAGGCUUUCGGGUUGUAAACUUCUUUUAAGAGGGAAGAGCAGAAGACGGUACCUCUUAAAUAAGCCACGGCUAACUACGUGCCAGCAGCCGCGGUAAUACGUAGGUGGCAAGCGUUGUCCGGAGUUACGGGGUGUAAAGGGCGUGCAGCCGGGAAGAAAAGUCAGAUGGGAAAGCCCGCGGCUCAACCGAGUAACUGCAUUGGAAAAUGUUUAUGUUGAGUACUGGAGAGGUAAUCGGAAUUCCUUGUGUAGCGGUGAAAUGCGUAGAUAUAAGGAAGAACACCAGUGGCGAAGGCGGAUGACUGGACGGCAACUGACGGUGAGGCGCGAAAGCGUGGGGAGCAAACAGGAUUAGAGACCCGGGUAGUC
Molecule: ribosomal RNA, 442 nt
Filed under: uncultured bacterium
Lineage: Bacteria
Description: partial 16S ribosomal RNA
Rfam family: Bacterial small subunit ribosomal RNA
Source: RNAcentral